CUUGCCAUCUCCACUAGCUGGUUCU
RNAcentral lists this small nuclear RNA (25 nucleotides) under Arabidopsis thaliana (thale cress). Its description in RNAcentral is "snRNA_16224". Lineage: Eukaryota; Viridiplantae; Streptophyta; Magnoliopsida; Brassicales; Brassicaceae. The record is from RNAcentral.